This 652-nucleotide long non-coding RNA is filed under the name Lupinus mutabilis. RNAcentral describes it as "partial ncRNA". The record is from RNAcentral. Lineage: Eukaryota; Viridiplantae; Streptophyta; Magnoliopsida; Fabales; Fabaceae.
CUCUCUCAUAUAUCUAUCUCUCUUUCACCACCUUCCAUCAUCACCCUCUCUAUUCUUCUCUCCAUUAUAAUCAUAUAUACUAACCCUUCAAGAGAAUCCUUUUUCUUUCUCAAUUCUACCACCAAAUGGGUCUUGAAAUGUUAGAUGAAUGUGGACAAAUUACACCUAUAAGAGCCAUUGCUACUACUACUACAAAACCCUUCAGCAAUAGCAUGGAAGUAUUGGAUCUAGAGAAAACAAAGGAGGUAAAAGAAGAAGAAGAAGAUAAAGAAGAAGAGUGUCAUACACCAACAUCACCAACUCAAAUAUUGAAGACACCAUUGAUUUGUCCACCACCUCCUAAGAAACCACGUGUAGCUAGAAGAAGUGAUGUAAUUGCACCUUCUCAAGGCUUCAUUCAACUCUCUCAUGAUUUGGCUUCUGUCUUUUUUCUGAAACACAAACCCAACAUCACAGGAACCUCUUUGCUUACCACAUCCUUUUCUUGAGCAGUGGUAUAUUUAUAAAUAUAUAUAUAUAUAUAUAUAUAUAUCAAACAUAUAUAUUUUAAUUUAUUAACUAUGCACCACAUUAUAUAUAGUUGUUUUUAUCUUCCUAUCUUUCUUAGUACCAUGUUUACUAUGUUGUCUUGUCUUAAAUAUUUGAAGUGUAG